ACGUAUCUCUGGCGGCCCGUUCGCCCUGCUCCGUCCGAGAGGCCGUGCAGCGGGCGUCUGGCGCUGUCCAAACCUUACACACCCACCGUGCACACUCACGGCAAAAAGGCCUUGGGCGAGAGCCCCGGGCUGGAUGGCCGUUCCACAAACCCCGAACCUUAUGAACGAACGCGGCCUCUGUUGUCGCCUAACAAACGAAA
RNAcentral lists this unclassified non-coding RNA (200 nucleotides) under uncultured fungus. Its description in RNAcentral is "sequence contains ITS1, 5.8S rRNA gene". The record is from RNAcentral. Lineage: Eukaryota; Fungi.